RNAcentral lists this long non-coding RNA (276 nucleotides) under Oryza brachyantha (malo sina). RNAcentral's name for it is "long non-coding RNA (OBRA_LNC001969)". Lineage: Eukaryota; Viridiplantae; Streptophyta; Magnoliopsida; Poales; Poaceae. The record is from RNAcentral.
AAUGGCAAAAUUUGCUACAGGGUAUCGAAAAAACGCGUAAUUAGCCGUGGACACCGUAAGAUCACGAAUUCGCUGCAAGGCACCACAAAUGUGUGGCAAUUAGCUACCAAGCACUCCAGCAAAUGUUUUAUUACUUUUGGAGUCAAAAAUUAUAAAAAUGACGAGAUUGUCCUCGAUGGCCAAUCCGUUAUGUCGACUGGGUUUAGUCAAACCAGAGCCAGUUGGUCUCGGCGCCACACCACACCCAAACCCUAGCCUACAAGCCGAGUGAGCAGG